GGCUUCCUCGGGGCAUAAAGUUUGGACUCUAAUUCACUUUUCACUCUGGAUAGUUAAGAUUGAUUUGCCCCAGGGGCUUUGGGGAGGAUGGCUCUUGUGUCAACAUGGCAGGAUAGUACCCAGGCUGCAGGGUCACCUCUGAAGCCCCUCGGUUAUAAAUAGCUUCAAAACUGCCUUAACAGCUGGCAGUCGGCCAAUGGAGAGGAAAACAGAUUGAGGUGAGCUGCAGGAAGUAGAUCACGGUAGGAAGGAGGAGACCUAAGAGGAAAGAGUCAUAUGGAAAAAUAAACAAGGGCAUUUUAGGGUACCAGAAGAGAAAAGCAGUAUUUCCAUGUUGCUAUUUUAGUAUUAGGCUUCUCGACCAUUCCACUCUCUCUACCCCGUACCUGUCGAGGAAAGGAAGAGCCGGCGGGAGUCAGUGAGAAGGAUUAGUCCAUAUGAGCUCCCUCUCUGCUGCCCCCAUCAUUCCAGUCUUCAAUGAUAGGGUGAAAAACCAAUGUAAAAGAAAACCUCAUGAACAACUAUUCUUCACAGCUUACAGAGGAAUAAUAAAAAUUGACCAUUGGAAGACCCUAACAUAUGAAAGAAAUCCUUCAUGGGCAAUCUGGGAAAAUAUCAACAAAAAUAUCACAGGAUGAAAAAAGUGAAAGGAAUGUAAUGUGCAUUAAUACAGGAUUUAUCAACCACAUGUGAUCCAUAAAAAUAAUUGUGACUGUAAGUAUUUUCUCUCCUUUGUCUAAAUUUUUUCAUUUGAAUGUAAAAUAAUACUGGCAUUUAUUUAUUUAUAUGUCUAUAGGUAGAGAUGAGAUGUUUUUAAGAUGUAACAUUCCAAAAAAAGGACAUUUUAUGAUAUUCCCAGAAUAAGAGCCAGCUAUACAAAAAUGCUAGAUGACUGUUUGUUGAAUGAAUGAGUGAAAAUUUGAUCCUUAGUGUUUUCCAAUUCACAAUUCAAAUAAUCCACACAAUGUAAAGUGAAUUCGAGCUAAGACACUUAAUAGUCAAACUUGGAAUUUCCAACUACCACAUGUUUUGAAUAUUUGAUGGAUUUUUUUUUUGAAACCACAGAUAAAAGAGGAGGAGGAAGAGGAGGAGGAGGCUCCAGGUACAAAUCUAGUUUGUUUCACAAUGUUCUCAAAUAUAGCAACUAAACUGGAAUAAGAAAAGAAGAAUUAGGUUAUGUAAACUUAUUGUCUAUAUGCUUUUUUGCAAUGCUACAAAAUGAUCUCCUUUAUGCUUUCUUGUUUCACAUUGUGGAACAUUUUUCUAGAUGAGUAUUUGUGUAAUAAGGAAAAAUUGCUGGAACCAAGAACCUUUGGAAAAUGCUCAGCUUGUACAAAUAUGCUUUAGUAAAACAAAGAAUCAAGUAGUAAGUUCAUAAUGAUAUGCCAUUUUUACAUACUGAAAAGUUUUGCAAAUUGUAUUUACUGGAAUCACUGCAUUAGUUAAAUUAAUUCUUCUUUGGCUUCAAUACAACAAUAAUCUUGAAGUCUCUCAGAGAAAUGUAUUGCAUUUGAGGAUAAAAAAUAUAAUGAGCAGAAGGAGCCAAUUUAUCUCUGAAUGUGGAAUGUGAUAAUGAAAGAAAGGUACCUAUUUAUUCCUUAAUACCUUUAAAGAUCUUAUUUGUCCUAUGGUCUAUUU
Long non-coding RNA from Monodelphis domestica (gray short-tailed opossum), 1638 nucleotides. Lineage: Eukaryota; Metazoa; Chordata; Mammalia; Didelphimorphia; Didelphidae. The record is from Ensembl.